Molecule: ribosomal RNA, 1496 nt
Filed under: Pseudomonas peradeniyensis
Lineage: Bacteria; Pseudomonadati; Pseudomonadota; Gammaproteobacteria; Pseudomonadales; Pseudomonadaceae
Description: bacterial SSU rRNA
Rfam family: Bacterial small subunit ribosomal RNA
Source: RNAcentral
GAACUGAAGAUUUUGAUCAUGGCUCAGAUUGAACGCUGGCGGCAGGCCUAACAUGCAAGUCGAGCGGAUGACGGGAGCUUGCUCCUUGAUUCAGCGGCGGACGGUGAGUAAUGCCUAGGAUUCGCCUUUGGGUAGUGGGGGACACCGUUUUCGAAAGGAACGCUACCGCAUACGUCCUACGGGAGAAAGCAGGGGACCUUCGGGCCUGGCGCUAUCAGAUGAGCCUAGGGUCGGAUUAGCUUAGUAGGUGAGGUAAUGGCUCACCUAGCGACGAUCCGUAACUGGUCUGGAGAGGAUGAUCAGUCACACUGGAACUGGUGACACGGUCCAGACUCCUACGGAGGCAGGGGGAAUAUUGACAAUGGGCGAAAGCCUGAUCCAGCCAUGCCGCGUGUGUGAAGAAGGUCUUCGGAUUGUGGUACACUUAAGUUGGCAGCGCAGUAAGUUAUCACCUGUUGCUUCCGACGUUACCGACAGAAUAAGCACCGGCUAAUUUCGUGCCAGCAGCCGCGGUGUACUACAGAGUGGUGCAAGCGUUAAUCGGAAUUACUGGGCGCAGCGCGCGUAGGUUCGUUGCUGAUGUGAAAGCCCCGGGCUCAACCUGGGAACUGUAUCCAAAACUGGCGAGCUAGAGUAUGGUAGAGGGUGUGGAACGGUAGCGGGUAAAAUGCGUAGAUAUAGGAAGGAACACCAGUGGCGAAGGCGACCACCUGGACUAUUACCACACUGAGGUGCGAAAGCGUGGGAGCAACAGGAUUAGAUACUCCUGGUAGUCCACGCUGUAAACGAUGUCAACUAGCCGUUGGAAUCCUUGAGAUUUUAGUGUGGCAGCCAACGCAUUAAGUUGACCGCUUCCGGGGAGUACGGCCGCAAGGUUAAAACUCAAACAAUUGACGGGGGGCCCGGCACAAGCGGUGGAGCAUGUGGUUUAAUCUCGAAGCAACGCGAAGAACCUUACCAGGCCCGACAUGCAGAGAACUUUCCAGAGAUGGAUUGGUGCCUUCGGGAAACUCUGACACAGGUGCUGCAUGGCUGUCGUCAGCUCGUGUCGUGAGAUGUUGUUGCUUCCGUAACGAGCGCAAACGGUCCUUAGUUACCAGCACGUUAUGGUGGGCACUCUAAGGAGACUGCUGGCACAAACCGGAGUGAAGGUGGGAUGACGUCAAGUCAUCAUGGCCCUUUACGGCCUGGGCUACACACGUGCUACAAUGGUCGGUACAGAGGUUGCCAAGCCGCGAGGUGGAGCUAAUCUCACAAAACCGAUCGUCCGAUCGCAGUCUGCAACUCGACUGCGAAGUCGGAAUCGCUAGUAAUCGCAAAUCAGAAUGUUGCGGUGAAUACGUUCCCGGGCCUUGUACACACCGCCCGUCACACCAUGGGAGUGGGUUGCACCAGAAGUAGCUAGUCUAACCUUCGAGGACGGUUACCACGGUGUGAUUCAUGACUGGGGUGGUCAAAUACAGCCGGUAGGGAACCUGCGGCUGAUCAAUUUAAUC